UGUUCCGGAAGAAAAGUACACUUCACUCCACUCCCUCCUUCCGCAACACACCUUUUCGUGAGCUUUCUACUCCCCGAACCUGCCCAGCAGAAUGCGAAGGCCACCCCAAUGUCACCGGAGCUUAUCGUCAGGCUAUCUGGUCAGUCUGGCUGCCCCCCGAUGCUUGCCAGGUGUAGAGACUGCUGGUAGCCUUAGCACCCAACCCACGGGAGGUCAUGGGGAUAAAGAAGACAGGAAAAAGGACUGAAAAGGACCAGCCAGCACAAUAGGAGGAGCACAGUUUUGAGGUAAUUAGAACUUAAAUUAGAGUUCAGAAAGCCAGCAAAGCGAGGUGGUAAAGGAAUAAGCUCUGGAACAGAAUCUUGAUUCUA
Eubalaena glacialis (North Atlantic right whale) is the source of this 371-nucleotide long non-coding RNA. RefSeq lists it as uncharacterized. The record is from RefSeq and is a predicted model, not a curated record. NCBI's taxonomy places the organism in Eukaryota, Metazoa, Chordata, Mammalia, Artiodactyla, Balaenidae. The transcript is spliced from 3 exons.